UUAAGUUCAGCGGGUAUCCCUACCUGAUCCGAGGUCAAGCGUAAAGUUAUAGGCUUGUGGACGCCGCCGCACCCAGCGGAGAGCGCAAAAUGUGCUGCGCUCUCACACGGGACGGCUGGCUGCCAAUGCAUUUGAGGCGAGUUCACGCGCGCGGCGGAACAAAACGCCCAACACCCAGCAGGGCUGGAGGGUACAAAUGA
RNAcentral lists this unclassified non-coding RNA (200 nucleotides) under Pleosporales sp. RNAcentral's name for it is "partial internal transcribed spacer 2". Lineage: Eukaryota; Fungi; Ascomycota; Dothideomycetes; Pleosporales. The record is from RNAcentral.